UACGUAGGGUGCAGGCGUUAAUCGGAAUUACUGGGCGUAAAGCGUGCGCAGGCGGUUUGCUAAGACAGGUGUGAAAUCCCCGGGCUUAACCUGGGAACUGCGCUUGUAACUGGCAAGCUAGAGUGUGGCAGAGGGGGGUGGAAUUCCACGUGUAGCAGUGAAAUGCGCAGAUAUCCGGAGGAACACCGGUGGCGAAGGCGGCUUCCUGGACCGACACUGACGCUGAGGCGCGAAAGCUAGGGGAGCAAACGGG
RNAcentral lists this ribosomal RNA (253 nucleotides) under uncultured bacterium. RNAcentral's name for it is "partial 16S ribosomal RNA". It matches the Rfam family "Bacterial small subunit ribosomal RNA", at positions 524 to 776 of the family's 1533-position model. The record is from RNAcentral.